AUUGAACGCUGGCGGCAGGCCUAACACAUGCAAGUCGAACGGUAACAGGAAUCAGCUUGCUGAUUUGCUGACGAGUGGCGGACGGGUGUGUAAUGUCUGGGACACUGCUUUAUGGCGGGGGAUAACUCCUGGAAACGGUAGCUAAUACCGCAUAACGUCGCAAGCCCAAAGAGGGGGAGCUUCGGGCCUCUUGCCAUCUGCUGUGCCCAGAUGGGAUUAGCUAGUAGGUGGGGUAAAGGCUCACGUAGGCGACGAUCCAUAGCUGGUCUGAGAGGGUGACCAGCCACACUGGAACUGAGACACGGUCCAGACUCCUACGGGAGGCAGCAGUGGGGAAUAUUGCGCAAUGGGCGAAAGCCUGAUGCAGCAAUGCCGCGUGUAUGAAGAAGGCCUUCGGGUUGUAAAGUACUGUCAGCGGGGAGGAAGGGAGGAAAGUGAAAACGUGUGCACAUUGACGGUACCCGAAGAAGAAGCAACGGCUAACUCCGUG
Molecule: ribosomal RNA, 490 nt
Filed under: uncultured bacterium
Lineage: Bacteria
Description: partial 16S ribosomal RNA
Rfam family: Bacterial small subunit ribosomal RNA
Source: RNAcentral